RNAcentral lists this long non-coding RNA (211 nucleotides) under Cottoperca gobio. RNAcentral's name for it is "lncRNA (ENSCGOG00000022130.1)". The record is from RNAcentral. Lineage: Eukaryota; Metazoa; Chordata; Actinopteri; Perciformes; Bovichtidae.
GGAGGUUUUUCUUAUGAGGGACUUGAGCUGCUCCGUCUGCUUUCUGGAUCCCUUCAUCUUGUCUGGACGCUGGCAUCGAGAUGUUGUGAAAUUCCAAGGGGACGUAUGUCUUGGCCCGUCAGAGGCGGCUGGCUGCCAGGACUCCUCUCAGCUCGCUCCCCGAAGACCCCUGGCUCCACAGAAACAGGAAAUGACACCUCCAUCAGAGUGA